GUGGCUUACACAUGCAGUCGUGCGAGAAAGUAUCUUCGGAUAUGAGUAGAGCGGCGGACGGGUGAGUAACGCGUAGGAAUUUGCCCAAUAGAGGGGGAUAGCCCGAGGAAACUCGGAUUAAUACCGCAUACGCCCUACGGGGGAAAGGCUGGGAUCUUCGGACCAGUCACUAUUGGAGAAGCCUGCGUAAGAUUAGCUUGUUGGNGGGGUAAAGGCCUACCAAGGCGACGAUCUUUAGCUGGUCUGAGAGGAUGAACAGCCACACUGGAACUGAGACACGGUCCAGACUCCUACGGGAGGCAGCAGUGAGGAAUAUUGCGCANUGGGCGAAAGCCUGACGCAGCGACGUCACGUGAGCGAUGAAGUUUUUCGGAAUGUAAAGCUCUGUCAAGAGGGACGAUUAUGACGGUACCUCUAAAGGAAGCCCCGGCUAACUCCGUGCCAGCAGCCGCGGUAAUACGGAGGGGGCAAGCGUUGUUCGGAAUUACUGGGCGUAAAGGGCGCGUAGGCGGAUUGGUUAGUCAGAUGUGAAAUCCCCGAGCUUAACUUGGGAACUGCAUUUGAUACUGCUGAUCUAGAGUCCGGGAGAGGAUAGUGGAAUUCCCAGUGUAGAGGUGAAAUUCGUAGAUAUUAGGAGGAACACCAGUGGCGAAGGCGACUCUCUGGGCCAAUACUGACGCUGAGGUUCGAAAGCGUGGGGAGCGAACGGGAUUAGAUACCCCGGUAGUCCACGCAGUAAACGAUGAGUGCUAGAUGUUGGGAACAUUAGUUUUCAGUAUCGCAGCUAACGCGUUAAGCACUCCGCCUGGGAAGUACGGCCGCAAGGCUAAAACUCAAAUGAAUUGACGGGGACCCGCACAAGCGGUGGAUCAUGUGGUUUAAUUCGAAGCAACGCGAAGAACCUUACCGGCUCUUGACAUACCAAUCGCGGAUCUA
RNAcentral lists this ribosomal RNA (936 nucleotides) under uncultured bacterium. RNAcentral's name for it is "bacterial SSU rRNA". It matches the Rfam family "Bacterial small subunit ribosomal RNA", at positions 44 to 1003 of the family's 1533-position model. The record is from RNAcentral.